GAUUAGCUAGUUGGCGGGGUAACGGCCCACCAAGGCGACGAUCGGUAGCUGGUCUGAGAGGAUGAUCAGCCACACUGGGACUGAGACACGGCCCAGACUCCUACGGGAGGCAGCAGUGGGGAAUAUUGGACAAUGGGCGAAAGCCUGAUCCAGCAAUGCCGCGUGAGUGAUGAAGGCCUUAGGGUUGUAAAGCUCUUUUACCCGGGAUGAUAAUGACAGUACCGGGAGAAUAAGCCCCGGCUAACUCCGUGCCAGCAGCCGCGGUAAUACGGAGGGGGCUAGCGUUGUUCGGAAUUACUGGGCGUAAAGCGCACGUAGGCGGCUUUGUAAGUUAGAGGUGAAAGCCCAGGGCUUAACCCUGGAAUUGCCUUUAAGACUGCAUCGCUAGAAUUGUGGAGAGGUAAGUGGAAUUCCGAGUGUAGAGGUGAAAUUCGUAGAUAUUCGGAAGAACACCAGUGGCGAAAGGCGACUUACUGGACACAUAUUCACGCUGAGUGCGAAAGCGUGGGAGCAAACAGGAUUAGAUACCCUGUAGUCCACGCCGUAACGAUGAUGACUAGCUGUCGGGGCGCUUAGCGUUCCGGUGCGCAGCUAACGCGUUAAGUCAUCCGCCUGGGGAGUACGGCCGCAAGGUUAAACUCAAGAAAUUGACGGGGGCCUGCACAAGCGUGGAGCAUGUGUUUAUUCGAAGCAACGCGCAGAACCUUACCAGCGUUUGACAUGCCAGGACGGUUCCAGAGAUGAUUUCUUCCCUUACCGGACCUGGACACAGUGCUGCAUGCUUGUCGUCAGCUCGUGUCGUGAGAUGUUGGGUUAAGUCCCGCAACGAGCGCAACCCUCGUCUUUAGUUGCUACCAUUUAGUUGGGCGCUCUAAAGAAACUGCCGGUGAUAAGCCGGAGGAAGGUGGGGAUGACGUCAAGUCCUCAUGGCCCUUACGCGCUGGGCUACACACGUGCUACAAUGGCGGUGACAACGGGCAGCAAACUCGCGAGAGUGAGCAAAUCCCAAAAAGCCGUCUCAGUUCGGAUUGUUCUCUGCAACUCGAGAGCAUGAAGGCGGAAUCGCUAGUAAUCGCGGAUCAGCACGCCGCGGUGAAUACGUUCCCAGGCCUUGUACACACCGCCCGUCACACCAUGGGAGUUGGUUUCACCCGAAGGUGGUGCGCUAACCCGCAAGGGAGGCAGCCAACCACGGUGGGAUCAGCGACUGGGGUGAAGUCGUAACAAGGUAGCCGUAGGGGAACCUGCGGCUGGAUCACCUCCUU
RNAcentral lists this ribosomal RNA (1265 nucleotides) under uncultured bacterium. Its description in RNAcentral is "bacterial SSU rRNA". It matches the Rfam family "Bacterial small subunit ribosomal RNA", at positions 239 to 1532 of the family's 1533-position model. The record is from RNAcentral.